RNAcentral lists this ribosomal RNA (253 nucleotides) under uncultured bacterium. Its description in RNAcentral is "partial 16S ribosomal RNA". It matches the Rfam family "Bacterial small subunit ribosomal RNA", at positions 524 to 776 of the family's 1533-position model. The record is from RNAcentral.
UACGGAGGGUGCAAGCGUUAUCCGGAUUUAUUGGGUUUAAAGGGUCCGUAGGCGGGCUAAUAAGUCAGUGGUGAAAUCCUGCAGCUUAACUGUAGCACUGCCAUUGAUACUGUUAGUCUUGAGUAUAUUUGAAGUAGCUGGAAUAAGUAGUGUAGCGGUGAAAUGCAUAGAUAUUACUUAGAACACCAAUUGCGAAGGCAGGUUGCUAAGAUAAGACUGACGCUGAUGGACGAAAGCGUGGGGAGCGAACAGG